Molecule: long non-coding RNA, 299 nt
Filed under: Capsicum annuum
Lineage: Eukaryota; Viridiplantae; Streptophyta; Magnoliopsida; Solanales; Solanaceae
Description: long non-coding RNA (CANN_LNC013812)
Source: RNAcentral
GUACAACAACAACAACAAACCCAGUGUAUUCCCACUUAGUGGGGUCUGGGGGGGGUAAGAUGUACGCAGUCCAUACCUCUACCUCUGAUGAAGUAGAAAGGCUGUUUCCGAAAGACCCCCGGCUCAAGUCACGAGAUAUCACACAAACACAUAGUACAGCACAGAAGCAGAUGACGUAACAUAGGUACGGCACCCAUAAGGAAUAUAAAACAGAGUAAAGCAGGAAUGCAGGAAUAUACAGCAGAGGAAAGCACACAUAUUCGUAAUAAACAUGGAACACGGAACACGGAACAUUGAAU